UUUGUACUGAAUUUGUUCCUUUUAUUUUGUCUUUAUUGUAUUUACAGUAUGUACAAUCAUUUCAGUCACUAUAAAGCUAUAAAAAUAAGCUCUCACACUCUGUAUGAUGAAGAUAAAUUUAAUACAAAAGAAAAUUGUGUUGAACACACAUGGACCCGGGGCUUUUUCCUCCUCCUAUGGCACAGUGUAAUAACAAUAAAAAAGCUGAGACUGGCCUUCGCCUCGCUGGAUCACAGACCGUUAGAGAACUGAAACAUGACAUGCACUGCCCUCUGGGGUUUAAUAACACUGGCUUCCACCGAACUCAGCUAAAAGCGUUAAACCUCCGCACAAGCGUAGAAAAUGCUCUGUUGGUACAUCAGAGAGAACUCCGGUCCUAUACAUUGUUCUUUCUCUAAUGCAACACUCUUCGUCUUUAAUGCAAAUUAAUGCAAAGAAAAGAGCAGAAUACAUUCAGCCUGGUCCAGGAAUCUGAUGCUAAGAUAACAUUGUAUCUUAUCAGUCGCUGCCAACACUGGGAUUACAUUUUUUAAAGGCUGAAACAUCAAAAAUUGCCGACACAUAUCCAUGCAGAAAGCACAAAAACACUCAGCCACACAUUUGUUCCAAUCUACACACCUCUCAGUUUUACAGUACUUCAGUUUUCACAAGGUGCAACACGAGGAUUGAUUUAAUAGUUCAAGUAUUUUUAUGAAAUGAGCCUUUGGGUGAAGUCGCUACUGUAGGGCUUGGGUGACAUUUCCUACAGAUAAUAAAAUCUGGUCCUCUUUUAAUAACAGGCUCCCUCCUGUUACACUGGAAACCUCCAUAUGGCGCUCCUCAAACACCCGUUCUUUUGAUCUUUCCUAUAAUUUGAACAUUUUAACACCUCAUUUUUGUGCUUAGACCAAAAGAAAAACAUAAUUUCUCCUUAUGUUCAUCUGAGUGAAAUGUGUUUUUCCAGACCAAAGGAUUCAUUAAAAGUGCGCACCCCCCCUUCUGUAAGUGUCUCCAGAUUAAUUUAGCCGUCACUUGCAGCUUUUUGAGGCUGACCGCUGCAGAUGUGGUGACCUCUUGAACUUGGUCAGAGUCUGCACAGCUCCGUAUCAGGACAUCAAGUAUCAUCAUCCUGUUUCAACCGCAGGGCGCCUGUCCGUCACUCUCUGAUGAGCGGGAGCUGCUUUGUGCAGUCUAAACUGCAUUUUCAUUCACUGCAGUUGUUUGAACUCAAAAUAAAUCAGAUUUUAUUGAGAUUUAGUUGCGGAAAAGGAUGCCGAAAUCACACCAUCAGGUUGCAGACUAGAACAAAACUAACAAUUAGAUCUUUGUCGGGUUUGUCCUCAACAAGACAAGAAAAAACUUUUAAACGCUCCUUUUUUGAAUGAGGUUUGGGCAGACUAUAAGUGAAGCACUUUUAGUACCUGCUAACAAAAUCUUUUGCAAAUCUGAGUUUGUGCAUCACACAAACAUCCAGCCUCUCUUUUGGUCUGAACACCUUUUCUCUGCAUCUGUCCGCUCAUACUCCCUCUUUUUUUUUAACCACAACACAAAUCAUGCUCGAUGUCUCCUCUCUCUACUUGCACACAUCUUCAGUCUGCAUGUCCUCGCACACAAACUCCCCGCUGCUGCUGCAACUUCUGAGAUGUCCCCCCGGGUGUUUUAACAAGUAUUCUCUGUUAGUAGCUGC
Molecule: long non-coding RNA, 1666 nt
Filed under: Xyrichtys novacula (pearly razorfish)
Lineage: Eukaryota; Metazoa; Chordata; Actinopteri; Labriformes; Labridae
Source: RNAcentral